RNAcentral lists this ribosomal RNA (317 nucleotides) under Talaromyces sp. BAB-3848. RNAcentral's name for it is "eukaryotic LSU rRNA". The stretch from base 1 to 99 matches the Rfam family "5.8S ribosomal RNA", at positions 56 to 154 of the family's 154-position model. The record is from RNAcentral. Lineage: Eukaryota; Fungi; Ascomycota; Eurotiomycetes; Eurotiales; Trichocomaceae.
CGAUACUUGGUGUGAAUUGCAGAAUUCCGUGAAUCAUCGAAUCUUUGAACGCACAUUGCGCCCCCUGGCAUUCCGGGGGGCAUGCCUGUCCGAGCGUCAUUUCUGCCCUCAAGCACGGCUUGUGUGUUGGGUGUGGUCCCCCUGGGGACCUGCCUGAAAGGCAGUGGCGACGCCCGCCUAGGUCCUCGAGCGUAUGGGGCUUUGUCACCCGCUCGGGAAGGAUCUACGGGCGUUGGUCUUCCACAAUUUUUUCCACGGUUGACCUCGGAUCAGGUAGGAGUUACCCGCUGAACUUAAGCAUAUCAAUAAGCGGAGGA